ACAACUGUUUAUCAAAAACACAGGUUUCUGCAAAAUCGUAAGAUGAAGUAUAGGGGCUGACGCCUGCCCAGUGCUGGAAGGUUAAAAGGAGGACUUAGCUUCGGCGAAGGUCUUAAUUGAAGCCCCAGUGAACGGCGGCCGUAACUAUAACGGUCCUAAGGUAGCGAAAUUCCUUGUCGGGUAAGUUCCGACCCGCAUGAAAGGCGUAAUGAUUUGGGCGCUGUCUCAACAAUAGACUCGGUGAAAUUUAAAUUCCAGUGAAGAUGCUGGGUACCCGCGACAGGACGGAAAGACCCCGUGGAGCUUUACUGUAGCUUGAUAUUGAAUGUUUGUGCUGCAUGUGCAGGAUAGGUAGGAGACUUUGAAGUCGGAACGCUAGUUUCGAUUGAGUCACCCUUGAGAUACUACCUCUGUUGUAUGAACGUUCUAACUCUGAUCAGUUAUCCUGAUCGAAGACAGUGUCUGGCAGGCAGUUUGACUGGGGCGGUCGCCUCCUAAAAGAUAACGGAGGCGCUCAAAGGUUUGCUCAGAAUGGUUGGAAAUCAUUCGUAG
This 552-nucleotide ribosomal RNA is filed under the name Oenococcus oeni. RNAcentral describes it as "bacterial LSU rRNA". It matches the Rfam family "Bacterial large subunit ribosomal RNA", at positions 1796 to 2347 of the family's 2925-position model. The record is from RNAcentral. Lineage: Bacteria; Bacillati; Bacillota; Bacilli; Lactobacillales; Lactobacillaceae.